This 25-nucleotide unclassified non-coding RNA is filed under the name Mus musculus (house mouse). RNAcentral describes it as "oocyte_clustered_small_RNA4574". The record is from RNAcentral. Lineage: Eukaryota; Metazoa; Chordata; Mammalia; Rodentia; Muridae.
UUGACAACAGUGCUCAUCUUCUAAA